RNAcentral lists this non-coding RNA (39 nucleotides) under unclassified sequences. Its description in RNAcentral is "L31-Actinobacteria ribosomal protein leader". It matches the Rfam family "L31-Actinobacteria ribosomal protein leader". The record is from RNAcentral.
CGGGCUCCGGUUCACCUCGCAACGCGGGGACCCGGCGCC